This is a non-coding RNA of Pelobates cultripes (western spadefoot toad), 221 nucleotides long. Lineage: Eukaryota; Metazoa; Chordata; Amphibia; Anura; Pelobatidae. The record is from the annotation of a GenBank genome assembly.
AUGCUCUUUGCCACAUACUGCAUUACACGAGGAUAGAUUGCUGGGUCUGUUCAUGGUCGAGCCAUGUGAGUGCACAUUAGACCGUAAGUAAACCCUCUCGGAGGACGCUGCUACACCCAGCACAAGCAAGCCAUUAGACAGAGCUCUCUGCUAAUAUUUCAAAUGAAAAGCUUUUAUGUCAUGGAGAUAACACACAGCCUUAUUAAGCAGGCGCCUUGGGC